UGGAGUGGUAGUUCAGUUGGUUAGAAUACCGGCCUGUCACGCCGGGGGUCGCGGGUUCGAGUCCCGUCCACUCCGCCAU
This 79-nucleotide transfer RNA is filed under the name Coxiella burnetii RSA 331. Its description in RNAcentral is "tRNA-Asp". It matches the Rfam family "tRNA". Rfam says of the family: Transfer RNA (tRNA) molecules are approximately 80 nucleotides in length. The record is from RNAcentral. Lineage: Bacteria; Pseudomonadati; Pseudomonadota; Gammaproteobacteria; Legionellales; Coxiellaceae. RNAcentral also lists the same sequence under 1 other name.